ACUCAAAUGAAUUGACGGGGGCCCGCACAAGCGGUGGAACAUGUGGUUUAAUUCGAAGCUACGCGAAAAACCUCACCAGGGCUUGACAUACAGGAAGUAGUGAAGUGAAAGCGGAACGACCCGUUAAGUCGGGAGCCUGAACAGGUGCUGCAUGGCUGUCGUCAGCUCGUGUCGUGAGAUGUUGGGUUAAGUCCCGCAACGAGCGCAACCAUUAUCCUUUGUUGCCACUUUUAUCGAGCUUGCUCGGUAAGAAGCACUCUAAGGAGACUGCCCGGGAUAACCGGGAGGAAGGUGGAGAUGACGUCAAGUCAGUACGGCCUUUAUGCCCUGGGCGACACACGUGUUACAAUGGGUAGGACAAAGGGUUGCCAACCCGCGAGGGGGAGCUAAUCUCAAAAACCUACCCCCAGUUCAGAUCGGAGUCUGCAAUUCGACUCCGUGAAGCCGGAAUCGCUAGUAAUGGGAGAUCAGCACGCUCCCGUGAAUACGUUCCCGGGCCUUGUACACACCGCCCGU
Molecule: ribosomal RNA, 516 nt
Filed under: uncultured bacterium
Lineage: Bacteria
Description: partial 16S ribosomal RNA
Rfam family: Bacterial small subunit ribosomal RNA
Source: RNAcentral